AUUGAACGCUGGCGGCGGGCCUAACACAUGCAAGUCGAGCGGAUGAAGGGAGCUUGCUCCUGGAUUCAGCGGCGGACGGGUGAGUAAUGCCUAGGAAUCUGCCUGGUAGUGGGGGAUAACGUCCGGAAACGGGCGCUAAUACCGCAUACGUCCUGAGGGAGAAAGUGGGGGAUCUUCGGACCUCACGCUAUCAGAUGAGCCUAGGUCGGAUUAGCUAGUUGGUGGGGUAAAGGCCUACCAAGGCGACGAUCCGUAACUGGUCUGAGAGGAUGAUCAGUCACACUGGAACUGAGACACGGUCCAGACUCCUACGGGAGGCAGCAGUGGGGAAUAUUGGACAAUGGGCGAAAGCCUGAUCCAGCCAUGCCGCGUGUGUGAAGAAGGUCUUCGGAUUGUAAAGCACUUUAAGUUGGGAGGAAGGGCAGUAAGUUAAUACCUUGCUGUUUUGACGUUACCAACAGAAUAAGCACCGGCUAACAUCGUG
RNAcentral lists this ribosomal RNA (484 nucleotides) under uncultured bacterium. RNAcentral's name for it is "partial 16S ribosomal RNA". It matches the Rfam family "Bacterial small subunit ribosomal RNA", at positions 30 to 507 of the family's 1533-position model. The record is from RNAcentral.